AGAGUUUGAUCCUGGCUCAGGACGAACGCUGGCGGCGUGCUUAAGACAUGCAAGUCGUGCGGAAAGGCUCCUUCGGGAGCACUCGAGCGGCGCACGGGUGAGUAACGCGUGGGUAAUCUGCCUAAGGGCUCGGGACAACUCCGGGAAACUGGAGCUAAUACCGGAUAAGACCACGGGGCCUUCGGGUCCUGCGGAAAAAGGUGGCCUCUGCUCGCAAGCUACUGCCCAUUGAUGAGCCCGCGUCCCAUUAGCUAGUUGGUGGGGUAACGGCCUACCAAGGCGACGAUGGGUAGCUGGUCUGAGAGGAUGAUCAGCCACACUGGAACUGAGACACGGUCCAGACUCCUACGGGAGGCAGCAGUCGGGAAUUUUGGGCAAUGGGCGAAAGCCUGACCCAGCAACGCCGCGUGAGGGAUGAAGGCCCUCGGGUCGUAAACCUCUGUCGGGAGGGGAGAACGGUCGCGAUUCGAACAGGAUUGCGGCCUGACGGUACCUCCAAAGGAAGCACCGGCUAACUCCGUGCCAGCCGCCGCGGUAAUAC
This 541-nucleotide ribosomal RNA is filed under the name uncultured bacterium. Its description in RNAcentral is "bacterial SSU rRNA". It matches the Rfam family "Bacterial small subunit ribosomal RNA", at positions 8 to 526 of the family's 1533-position model. The record is from RNAcentral.